CCUACGGGUGACUGCAGUCGAGAAUCAUUCACAAUGGGGGAAACCCUGAUGCUGCGACGCCGCGUGGGGGAAUGAAGGUCUUCGGAUUGUAAACCCCUGUCAUGUGGGAGCAAAUUAAAAAGCUAGUACCCCAAGAGGAAGAGACGGCUAACUCUGUGCCAGCAGCCGCGGUAAUACAGCGGUCUCAAGCGUUGUUCGGAAUCACUGGGCGUAAAGCGUGCGUAGGCUGUUUCGUAAGUCGUGUGUGAAAGGCGCGGGCUCAACCCGCGGACGGCACAUGAUACUGCGAGACUAGAGUAAUGGAGGGGGAACCGGAAUUCGCGGUGUAGCAGUGAAAUGCGUAGAUAUCGAGAGGAACACUGGUGGCGAAGGCGGGUUCCUGGACAUUAACUGACGCUGAGGCACGAAGGCGAGGGGAGCGAAAGGGAUUAGAUACCCCAGUAGUC
Molecule: ribosomal RNA, 446 nt
Filed under: uncultured bacterium
Lineage: Bacteria
Description: partial 16S ribosomal RNA
Rfam family: Bacterial small subunit ribosomal RNA
Source: RNAcentral